GUCUUCUCCGCAAGUCCCCUCGGGCGGUGGCCGCAGUGGUAGCUGGCUGGCUGGGUUUCGGAGCAGGGUCGAUGGAGGGAAGGGACACAGAAAGGUGCCCCGAGCUCCCUCGGCACCUGCGUCAGAUGCUAGCCGCGGAGAGUGAGGGACCUUGAGCGGUACUGCACGCGUCCUCAGCUCUGUGAGCCCCUCUGGCACCGCGGGGAGUCUCUGUUCCUGCUGCUGUGAUAAAAUAUCCUGACAAAAGCAACUUAAGGGAGGAUGAUUGAUUUUGGCUCUCGGUCUGAGGGUACAGUCCAUUGUGUCGUCGGUGAAGUCCUGGCAGCAGGAGCAGGAGACACCUUGAGUCUGCAGUCUCAAAGCAGAGAACGACAGAUGUCCAUAGCUCACCCCUGGACUCUUUGGCACCAUUGCUCAGCUUUCACUUUUCAAAUUUACCUUUUUGGGAAAAGGAAGGCUUCAAGGAUGGAGGGUGGAAGAACUGGAAGAAGAGUGGGAUUGGGGUGCAUGAUGUAAAACUCCCAAAGAUUCAAUAAAGAAUCAUAUUAAAUGCAAA
Long non-coding RNA from Rattus rattus (black rat), 556 nucleotides. RefSeq lists it as uncharacterized. The transcript has 4 exons. The record is from RefSeq and is a predicted model, not a curated record. NCBI's taxonomy places the organism in Eukaryota, Metazoa, Chordata, Mammalia, Rodentia, Muridae.